CAGAGGGGGGGGCUGGGGGUCCUUGAGCACCUGCCCUUUUUGCUCCUUGCCCUAAAGUGCCCUUUUGGUCCAAUUUUUUUUUUUUUUUUUUUUUUUUUAAAGUUAAUUUCCCAAGCCCUCUUCUGAUAUGUACUAAAAUUAUUAUUUUUUGUUGUUGUUGUUUUUAUUUAAAGAAAAACAACAUAAUAAGCCCUUCGGGUCACCUUGUUACCUUUGACCUUUUGUCCGUGACGCAUGACGCAGCUGCCUCCCGCUCAGUCAGUGAGACUGCGCAGUAGCUUACUGCGGAGCUCAACGUGGAGGAGGAAGGAAGGAAAAUUCAAAGAUGCCACGUAAAGAAAGACGGCAGAAACAAAAAAGAAAAGAAUUGAUAGAUGCAGCAAAAGGUAGUGGAUUGUUGACCGACUGGGUCAGAACGAGUACUGCAGAUGGACAGAAGGAAAGUGAUAGAUCAGAGGAGGAGACAAAAAUGCAGUCAACAACACAGGAAGACAGGCAAGGAGAGGGACAACAGUCAGAAAUAAACACUAUGGAUGAAAAUGCAGAGCAACAAGUCUUUUUUUUUUUAUAAAUUACAGUACACUAAAAGGUUGUAUUGUGCCCUUGUUUAUAUUUUUAAUAGUGUAACUCUGUAAAGACAAAAUAUGUAAAUCGGAGCUAAACCAUCAGCUCUGAUUUACAUAUUUUGCUAAAUUGCGGGUUUGAAUAUUGCAAUACUUUCCUAUAACAAAAUAGACCUGCAGAAAGAAAUUACUAAUAAAAUAUCUAACAUA
Xiphophorus couchianus (Monterrey platyfish) is the source of this 773-nucleotide long non-coding RNA. RefSeq lists it as uncharacterized. The transcript is spliced from 3 exons. The record is from RefSeq and is a predicted model, not a curated record. NCBI's taxonomy places the organism in Eukaryota, Metazoa, Chordata, Actinopteri, Cyprinodontiformes, Poeciliidae.